UUGUUCAGUUGUUAUUGUUUUAUUUUUAAUUUUUUGUUGCUGUUGGUUUACUCAGGUUGAUAUGAAGAUAACAGUCUGGAGCAGGGAAGUGGUGAAAUACUACCACCAAAAGUGCGAGCAAUGAGCAGUUUCAACCUGGUGCAGUGAUCAUCUCUUGGACUUUAACCCAUUAAGUCUUAAGGUUCGUUUCAAGCAUUUUGAGUGUGAUGUCAUGAGAGAUGCUGUUGUCCAUAACAGGUUGGGAUUAUCAUGAUCAAGUGCUCUAUUUUGACCUCAC
RNAcentral lists this long non-coding RNA (277 nucleotides) under Anser brachyrhynchus (Pink-footed goose). RNAcentral describes it as "lncRNA (ENSABRG00000014676.1)". The record is from RNAcentral. Lineage: Eukaryota; Metazoa; Chordata; Aves; Anseriformes; Anatidae.